RNAcentral lists this ribosomal RNA (428 nucleotides) under uncultured bacterium. Its description in RNAcentral is "bacterial SSU rRNA". It matches the Rfam family "Bacterial small subunit ribosomal RNA", at positions 28 to 453 of the family's 1533-position model. The record is from RNAcentral.
GAUGAACGCUGGCGGCGUGCUUAACACAUGCAAGUCGAGCGAUGAAGUUUCCUUCGGGAAACGGAUUAGCGGCGGACGGGUGAGUAACACGUGGGUAACCUGCCUCAUAGAGUGGAAUAGCCUUCCGAAAGGAAGAUUAAUACCGCAUAACGUUGAAAGAUGGCAUCAUCAUUCAACCAAAGGAGCAAUCCGCUAUGAGAUGGACCCGCGGCGCAUUAGCUAGUUGGUGGGGUAACGGCCUACCAAGGCGACGAUGCGUAGCCGACCUGAGAGGGUGAUCGGCCACAUUGGGACUGAGACACGGCCCAGACUCCUACGGGAGGCAGCAGUGGGGAAUAUUGCACAAUGGGGGAAACCCKGAUGCAGCAACGCCGCGUGAGUGAUGAAGGUUUUCGGAUCGUAAAGCUCUGUCUUUGGGGAAGAUAAUG